Non-coding RNA from Pelobates cultripes (western spadefoot toad), 340 nucleotides. Lineage: Eukaryota; Metazoa; Chordata; Amphibia; Anura; Pelobatidae. The record is from the annotation of a GenBank genome assembly.
AAAACAUAAGAGGAUUACCUUUCCUUUGGGGCGGCUGUACAGCAGAUUCCAGGUCCUUGGCAACUAGUAAGAGAGUGUCCAAAGGAAUAAUUCUGUAUUCAGGGCGAGAGAGCACUAAGCCUUUCCUGAUGGCUUCUUUAAAGCCAGCAACAAAGGCAGCAUAUAACAUCUGGGUAUGUGCUUUAUUAUAUACACUGAAUCCGAGAUUGGAGGUUUGAGUCAACAGUGAAUGGUAUUUUUCCACAGAUUCAAGUUUGUCUUGUAUAAUGUCAUUUAUACAAGUGGCUUGGUCAGCUAGUUUAUCCUGGGCCCAGGCCCGAAGCUGUUCACAGAAUGUAAU